Molecule: long non-coding RNA, 390 nt
Filed under: Brassica rapa (field mustard)
Lineage: Eukaryota; Viridiplantae; Streptophyta; Magnoliopsida; Brassicales; Brassicaceae
Description: long non-coding RNA (BRAP_LNC002534)
Source: RNAcentral
UCUCAUUCUUUUUUAUUUUUAUUUUGCUCUAUUCACCCCACAUAUUCACAUUAUUUACGAAGUUGGCAUUUAAUUUUUUUUUCUUUUCUAAAAUGGCUUUUUACUCUAUCAACCUCAUCAUCUUCAAGUAUUUACAAGAUUGACAUUGCCAUCAAUACUCCAACAACCAUGAACAACCAAUUUGAAGCUCUUAAUGCACCUAAUAUCGAUUUACACUCUCUCUUUCUCACUUGGAAUGAAAUAAAAACAAUAUCUCUUUCACUUUGCCUCCAUAUUCAUCCAAAAAACUCAAGCUUUUGAUUCAAAUUUUUUUAUGGUUGAUAGAGCCAUUCAAGCAUACUAUUCUUAGUGGGUUACUUUCGUUUGUGAUUAUGGGUGGUUGGAGAAGAC